CUCUUCCCUAGUUCUCCGACGCAACAAAGGGGUGGUGGUUCUACACGGAAUUGAAUAUUCGAAUUUCUCAGACGGAGGCUUUCCUCGUCAACAAAGCUUCGGUAUGCUUCUCACUUUCUGCAGUUUUGAUUUGUUCUCCUAUGCAAGCCCAUGGAAAUUGCAAUUAAAAAUUAGGUUUAAGCAUGAUUUUAUCUUGAUGCGAUUUUUUUUGUUUAAAUUUCUCACGUUUUACAACAUUCUGAAAGCACCAGUUAUGCAAUAAAUAUGACAAAGAAUUAGUCCCGUUCUUGAAAUUGGCAUUGCCAGAUAAAACUCCGAUUUCCAAAGACUGCAAAGUACUAUAAAAUUAAGUAUAAAUUCAAUUAAUUCUUAUACCGGUUGAAGUAGAACUUUUGCUGAAAAUUUUUUCGUUUCCCAAUUUUUGAAAUGAACCAGAAGGGAUGAAAAUUUUCAAAACUAAAAACCGAAAUUCAGAAGUUAUUCUUUUAAUCACCGUCUUCAGACAAGGACCUUUAUUAAAGACAUGCAAGUUGAUGUAUAGUUUAAAACAUUUCUUGGUAAGAUAUGGUGGGUUUGUACAUUAGCAAAUCACUAUUUUCUGUAAUCCUAAAGUACCACCGUUCAUUGCAGCCCCACCUCCAUCUAUACAUAACUGCUUGCUAGGUGUUCAAUGCAGUGCCAGAACUAAAGUUUUACAGGAAAAAUUGCCAUGGACGAACCUUGUUCCGUAAAUAGCCCUCGUAGGGUCUUGAGUUUCUCCAAGAAUCGGAGGGCAAACGUGUCAUUUCCCGAUCCCAACAACAGGGCUUCAUCUUCAUCGGGCUUUGGAGUUUCCGGGGACCAUGGUCCAAAGCCCUCUGAAGUUUA
RNAcentral lists this long non-coding RNA (867 nucleotides) under Olea europaea (common olive). RNAcentral describes it as "long non-coding RNA (OEUR_LNC001082)". The record is from RNAcentral. Lineage: Eukaryota; Viridiplantae; Streptophyta; Magnoliopsida; Lamiales; Oleaceae.